Molecule: transfer RNA, 71 nt
Filed under: Faecalicatena contorta
Lineage: Bacteria; Bacillati; Bacillota; Clostridia; Lachnospirales; Lachnospiraceae
Also listed under: 2 other names
Description: tRNA-Ile
Rfam family: tRNA
About the family: Transfer RNA (tRNA) molecules are approximately 80 nucleotides in length. Their secondary structure includes four short double-helical elements and three loops (D, anti-codon, and T loops).
Source: RNAcentral
UGGCACAUAGCACAAUGGGAGGGCGCACGGCUUAUAUCCGUGUAAUCACAGUUCGAUUCUGUGUGUGCCGA